GCUCAUCUGUGAAGCAAGGUCGAGCCCAGUGCUCAUCAGAGAAGGUCCGCUUAAUGGAAUUUCUCCUUGCCUAUGCUGUGAGGAUCAAACGGAAAUAAUUCAGAUCAGAUCCUUAGGAAUGGGCCUGGACACAGGAAACCUCAAUACAUAUAAGCUGUUGCAGUCUUUGCGAUUCUACCUCCAUAUCCAAUGGCCAAGCCCAGUUGGAUCUAAAACAGCUUGAAGGCUAUGGCACAGCAGUGAGCAGUGCAGGCAAUCUGUGCAGGCCAGAGCCCCUGGCUCUUCAUCCACACAGGAAGAAGGGACCAGUUUAUAUCAAUCAGAGCAGUAGCCUGAGAAGGUGGACAUGAAACUCAAGCAUGGAUCCCUAAGGAAGGCAGGCAGCCCUGGUGAGUGGGAGCCUUCUACUGUGUGGUGGAGUUUGCCCGUUGUGGGGUAGCCCACCAUUGCCUGGGCUAGGCUCUCUCUCCAGAAUCGCCCUUACCACCUGGACCUGAGCACUACUGCAGUGAGAUCUGACUCUGCACUUGGCUGUUUGGUACGCUUCCGGGAGGUUUGUAGGGAUGAUUCACUACUCCCUGGCAAGUCUAGCUCCAGCCUCUCUGCAUGGGUGACAGUGAAAUUCCAUCACAAACUCCUUCUUCUAGUUCCUUGGGUCUUGCUUUUGCAUUUAGCAGAUUGAGGGUUGCCUUUAUUUUCUUUCGAAUGGGUCUCACUUCAUUUAAAGAAAGUAUCUAACAAAUGUUUUUUUUAGAUUUUUCUCGAUUGUGGUAGCAUCUUUAAUUGAUUUUCUCAGAUAGUUACUGAUUUCCUCCUAUUUUUAAAAAUUCCUUUGAAGGAGCAGGAAGGAGUUAAGCCCUUGUGCUCAAUUAUUAUCAUGAGUUGAAAAUUACAUUUUCCAGUUUAAUUCUUUUUUUCUCUCACUUAAAACCAAAAAGUUUUAAUUUUUACAUAAUACCUCCUUAUUGAAUCUGCCCAACUAAUCAAGGGGAAAAUGCAAUGAAAGCAAAUUACCUGGUAGAAAUAUCAGGAUAUCUUUAAUAGCUGUAAAGUAUUAUUUAACAUGUAAUUUGGAUACUCUCAGAAUAAUAGGCACUGUAUUCUUUGGGGGUGUUUUGCUCUAUUCUUUUCUCUAUACUUUCUUUGUUCUCUCUCCUCUCUCCAUAGUCAGUUCAUAUUAGGAUACCUAGUGGGUGAUUUUAGGAAUAAAUAACUCAUUCAUUAAACACAAUUUGAGCCCCACCAUUUACAAAGCUUUCAGCAAAAGGUUAUAGGAAAUGUAAAGGGUAACCAGGUGCUGGCUAUAGCAAUUGCCAUCAUAAAAUUAUAAGCAAGCUUCAAGAGAAGAGCACAUGAAAAGAUGUUCAACAUGAUUAGUCAUUAGGGAAAUGCAAAUCAAGCCUACAAUGAGGUACAACUUCACACCCACUAGGAAAGCUAGAACAAAAAAGGCAGGCAAUAACAAGUGUCUGUGAAGGUGUGGAGAAAUUGGAACCCUCCUAUUCUUUGAGGUGGUGAAAAUGUUCCAGCAUUACAGAGUGGUGAUGGUUGCCCAGUCACGUCAAUAUACUGAAAACGACUGACUUGUACAAUUUGCAAGACACGUAUUUGACAUGUAUUAGUCAGAAUUGGUUAAGUACUGUAACAAAUAAACCAAAUCUCAAAGGCCUUUAAAAUAACCCUAAAACUUCAAUAGGAAGUGGGGGAGGAAGAGCUCAAUUCUGACAAGGGGGACUUUGGAAAGCUGCUUAGAACGAAUGAGUUCUAAGCCAUACCACAGAGAACAAGUGAUAAUACAGUAGCCAUUUACUAAUAGCGAAGUGUGCCAAACACCAGGCCUUUAUUUCUAAUUCUCUGUAUACAUAGUAUGGUCACUCUGCUGCAGAUGAAGAACUUGAGGCUCAGUGGUCAAGAUGUCUUCCCCACAUGACAGAGCUGCUGAGUGGCAGAGAAUACUGGAAUCAGCUGGGAGGCCAGCUCUUGAUAUGUGUAGGGGGUUGAGUAGUCUACACAGAGGGACAUGUGCAAGGGCACAGGGGUAGAAAACAGCAGAAUAUGGAUGGGAAACAGCAAAUCAGCUGGGUAGCUGGGCCAUCAUCCAUCCAGUUAGCGAUUGGAACUGAGAAUCAGCCUGGAAAGGCAAGCAGAGGCCAAAUUAUGGAAGGUUUGGUGUCGUGAUGGAGAAGUUUAGAAUUCAUUCUGGACCAUCAAAGAGC
Molecule: non-coding RNA, 2216 nt
Organism: Kogia breviceps (pygmy sperm whale)
Lineage: Eukaryota; Metazoa; Chordata; Mammalia; Artiodactyla; Physeteridae
Source: RefSeq, a predicted model, not a curated record